Molecule: unclassified non-coding RNA, 229 nt
Filed under: plant metagenome
Description: partial contains small subunit ribosomal RNA, internal transcribed spacer 1, and 5.8S ribosomal RNA
Source: RNAcentral
UCUCCGUAGGUGAACCUGCGGAGGGAUCAUUACAGAGCUCAUGCCCUACCGGGUAGAUCUCCCACCCUAUGUUACUAUUACUUUGUUGCUUUGGCGGGCCGUUAGGCUCCGGCCCGACUACCGGCCCCGGCUGGUAAGCGCCCGCCAGAGGACCCAAAACCCUGAAUAUUAGUGUCGUCUGAGUACUAUAUAAUAGUUAAAACUUUCAACAACGGAUCUCUUGGUUCUG